CUAAAACCCAACCCUUAGCCCAUAACCCGAUAACCCCAUCUCACCUUCUUUCUCUCGGCAUAGGUCCCGACACACCCUCCUUUUCGCCGUCACCUCCACCACCCACCAUUCCUCUUCUGCUUCUUCCCAUUCUUCUUCUUUUUCGGUACCUCCUUUUCAUUUUGCCAUGCUCGAUUCCCCACUCUCCUUCGAAAAUUCCCCUCCCCAUUCCUCCCACCCUACGCCGCAACCCCAAACCACUCCACCCAUGAAUGCCGACUUACCGGCGGCCCAUUCUGGUGCUUCAUACAAGAAGAAAAAGGCGAAGAGCAUUAAGCCACACAAAACAACAAGCGACGCCAAGAGGAAGCAACCCGAACAGCCCACACAACCUGACCCAGUCCCGCCCCCAACUUCUGCCGCACCUGAUGUCCGCCGUGGAAUCCCAAAAUCAGCGGUCAAACGCUUAGGGACAUCUAAAGGUAACUUCGUCAUUCCCUCAUCUUUGCCUACUGCUAGACAUUGGGUGUUGCCUACUGCCGAAAUGAAAAGAAAGAAGACAAGAGUCGAAGCUCG
This 555-nucleotide unclassified non-coding RNA is filed under the name Hevea brasiliensis (rubber tree). The record is from RNAcentral. Lineage: Eukaryota; Viridiplantae; Streptophyta; Magnoliopsida; Malpighiales; Euphorbiaceae.